GACUUAGUACUUUAAUUAUAAAAGAUCUGAUUUGCAUUUAGACAAUAAGUUGCUACAGCUUCUAGGUCA
This 69-nucleotide transfer RNA is filed under the name Amalda northlandica (Northland olive shell). Its description in RNAcentral is "tRNA-Ala". Lineage: Eukaryota; Metazoa; Mollusca; Gastropoda; Neogastropoda; Olividae. The record is from RNAcentral.